Molecule: ribosomal RNA, 253 nt
Filed under: uncultured bacterium
Lineage: Bacteria
Description: partial 16S ribosomal RNA
Rfam family: Bacterial small subunit ribosomal RNA
Source: RNAcentral
UACGUAGGGUGCAAGCGUUGUCCGGAAUUAUUGGGCGUAAAGAGCUUGUAGGCGGUUUGUCGCGUCUGCUGUGAAAUUUCGGGGCUCAACCCCGAACUUGCAGUGGGUACGGGCAGACUAGAGUGUGGUAGGGGAGACUGGAAUUCCUGGUGUAGCAGUGAAAUGCGCAGAUAUCAGGAGGAACACCGGUGGCGAAGGCGGGUCUCUGGGCCGAUACUGACGCUGAGGAGCGAAAGCGUGGGGAGCGAACAGG